This 1478-nucleotide long non-coding RNA is filed under the name Homo sapiens (human). RNAcentral's name for it is "HSALNT0322698". The record is from RNAcentral. Lineage: Eukaryota; Metazoa; Chordata; Mammalia; Primates; Hominidae.
GCUAUAACUGUAGCCUACUGAAUAACUGAACUUCCCCCAAAGUUCAAGGUCUUCAGCUAAGCUCAUCAGACUAAAACUGAGUCACAUAACUGGGAAGGGUAGUCCCUUAUGCCUAACCUAAACCCCAUUACAAAAUACAAUAAAAUGUGUUACCUGAUGUAACAAAGAGUUCUUAGUGUAAACUAGCUCUUGCCCCUUUUCUACUUAAAAACAGAGAUCCCACUAUAAUAAAAGAGGCUUCUGUAUAAUCAAGGCCACCGAGUAUCUAUGGUAUGCACUACGGAAAUCAGGCACACCCUUCUGCUUCAAUAUAAACUAGGACUCAAGAUAACUCAAAUCCAAGCUUCUGGAGGUGCUGAGGAGUCCAAGGAAGCAGGACAGACAGAGAUUCAGAAAAUUCACAAAUGGGGCAGACUAUUUACCUACUAACAAUAAGGACCGGAGGCAGUGGGUGGCUGUGAACAUACCCCACAGCAACACUGAAAAUGAGAAACGGACAGAGCCUGGUUUGGGGAGCUUUUGGAAGAAUUUUUCAAUGACAAUGUCCGCAACAUAAAGCAACGGUUUGUGUCCGUUAAAUCAAUUUCUUGUUUUAAAGAAAGAUUUUACGCUACCUAUGGUAAAUAAAUGGCUUGCCUUUCAAUGUUUAAAAAUGAGAACAGACUGGCCUCCACAUGUUAAGUAAAACAUUUACUCACAAAUAGAAAUUUUAAAAGUUAUUUAGCAUUCAAAAAAGGUGAGGGAAAAGAAAACAGAAACAUCAUAAAAACCCCACAGGCGGGUAGGGAGGGGUGUGCAAUGGGGUGUGGGGAGCAGGUCCUAGGUCAAAGGAAAGCACAUGUGAAUCGUCUGAAAGACACACCAGAGCAGAAACUUUUAUCCAGCUACUUCGGCAGCUAUUUUUCAAUAUAGGAUGGGUUUUGGUGACUGCACACCUACAACACACAGUGUUAUAUAACAUGGAAUAAGCUCGCUCAAAAAAAAAAAUUCAGAAAAAUCUUCCUGAGCAACUGUGUUAGAAAAUGGUUUUGAAAAGCUCCAGUUACACGUACCCUUUCUACUACCAACAUCAAAACAGGCUUUUUUAAAAAAGUCAGUUCUGUUUAGUAUACCUACACAGCCCAGCAGAGCAUAAUAAAGGGUGGAACCUACUCAAGACAAAUCCUUCAAAAUAUUCUAUAUUUGUAAAAGGCUGGUUUUCUCAAACGGCAGUUUGCCCAUUUGAUUCAAGUGACAUGGGCGAGCUUGCCUACCCUACAUUCCAAAGUCCAGCAGCAAACCAAAAUAUGUUCCACAAGUAAAGUUUGAUCCACCACUUCUAGUAAACACUUGGUUUACUGGAGUGGGGUGAGCGUGGUGCUUCUCAAACGAAGGGAAGGAAGGUGAAUGCGGAACAAAAGUAAAAAAUAUCAUGUCGCCAGGUCCCCAGCAAUAAAUCAACUGUACAAGCUCCGAGCAGGCCUCACAAGUUGUCCUCA